UCUCCCUUGGAAGCUGCGUGCUCCCUCGAGAGACCGCCAGCCGCCCGCCAGCCCGCCGCCGCCGCUUGCUGACGUAGUAAAAUCGAGCCAAUCGGCCGGCUGUUCGCUCUGCCGCGUGGUGCUACCGGACGGCGCUACGUCGGUGGUGGGCGUGGAGCCGGGCGUGCCGGUGCGGCGCCUGGUGGAGCGCCUGCUGCAGCGCC
Ostrinia nubilalis (European corn borer) is the source of this 203-nucleotide long non-coding RNA. RefSeq lists it as uncharacterized. Lineage: Eukaryota; Metazoa; Arthropoda; Insecta; Lepidoptera; Crambidae. The transcript is spliced from 2 exons. The record is from RefSeq and is a predicted model, not a curated record.